CGGCGUAUGAUGUACGAUUGCAUGGACGGUCUCUAAAACCGUGUGGCCUCUGAAGCCGACCGGGUGGGUUUGACUCCUACUACGCCGACCA
This 91-nucleotide transfer RNA is filed under the name uncultured phage cr113_1. RNAcentral describes it as "tRNA-Gln". Lineage: Duplodnaviria; Heunggongvirae; Uroviricota; Caudoviricetes; Crassvirales; Suoliviridae. The record is from RNAcentral.